AACGCACGAGACCUGCGGACCUGCGGAGGGAUCAUUACCGAGCUCGCGCCCCCGGGCCGACCUCCCACCCCUGCGAUCGCUACGACCGUUGCUUUGGCGGGCCACCGCGCCGCGGCCCCCCGGCCGCGGCGGGCCCGCCAGAGGCCCGCAGACUCUCGAUGUCCGCGUCGUCUGAGCGCCAUUAUAAUCGUUAAAACUUUCAGCAACGGAUCUCU
Molecule: unclassified non-coding RNA, 215 nt
Filed under: soil metagenome
Description: partial contains 5.8S ribosomal RNA, internal transcribed spacer 2, and large subunit ribosomal RNA
Source: RNAcentral